This 419-nucleotide ribosomal RNA is filed under the name uncultured bacterium. RNAcentral's name for it is "bacterial SSU rRNA". It matches the Rfam family "Bacterial small subunit ribosomal RNA", at positions 358 to 770 of the family's 1533-position model. The record is from RNAcentral.
CGAAUCAUUCACAAUGGGCGAAAGCCUGAUGGUGCAACGCCGCGUGGGGGAUGAAGGUCUUCGGAUUGUAAACCCCUGUCACCAAGGAUAAAACGUCGCAUGUUAAUAGCUAGCGGCCUGAUGUAACUUGGAGAGGAAGGAGUGGCUAACUCGGUGCCAGCAGCCGCGGUAAUACAGAGACUCCAAGCGUUAUUCGGAUUCACUGGGCGUAAAGGGUGCGCAGGCGGUCUGGUGUGUCGAGGGUGAAAUCCUGCAGCUUAACUGUAGAAUGGCCUUCGAAACUACCAGACUAGAGUAUCGGAGAGGGAAGCGGAAUUCCAGGUGUAGCAGUGAAAUGCGUAGAUAUCUGGAGGAACACCGAAGGCGAAGGCAGCUUCCUGGACGAUUACUGACGCUCAGGCACGAAAGCAUGGGGAGCG